GCUUCUGCCCUGGCCCCAGAGAGUUCCUCUGCUGGCUUCUGUGGCACAUCUGAGGAAGAAAAGGUUUAUGCAGCAGCUGCAAGGAGCUGUGAGUUUUGGGUAGGUACAGGAGCUAAAUUUCCAUGUUGAUCAUAGGAAGAUGCUGGUGCGGGGAGCAGGACAUACAGAGAGAACUGCAUUAAGACAGGAAACCACGUCUCCCUAAGGAGGUGGGAAAAGGACCUGAUCAAGCACUUACCAGCUCUUGGCUGCUUUCUGGAAGAUUCCACUCUCCAGUGUCCUCAACACUGCAUUUCUUAGCUCUGUUAAGGCCUUAAUUCUCUGCCUUCAUUUCCUUUGUUGUGCACUAUGUGUCUGAAGACAUAGAUUUGAGAAGCUGGAGAGGUGUGGGGCAGUGCAAGGCUGGCUCUGGAGGCCACAUCUGCAGGGAGAGCCCAUCUGGGAGGUCAGAGCAUGGUCCUGUGAUCUGCAAGAGCACUGAAGAAACAUGAAGGCAUGGAGGAUCUAAUUGGAGGAUUUAAUUGGAUCUGUGGAUGUGUGGAUAACUGUAAGAGGGAAGAGAAUUCUGCAGGACUGCUAUGCCCUCGUGUACCACACUCAUGGAAAAGAAGAGGAGCAGAAGAAAAUGCUUCCCAAGCCUGAGGCCAGCUGCAGAAGCAUCUCAUCAACUCAGCAGCAGUAGUUUGUGAUUUUAACUCUGAUUUGCUCCUCUACAGCCUGACAGCCAGCCUGUGUGAUCUCCUGUGCCACUGUUACCCUUAGAUCAUCUCACUGCCUGGAGCAUACAUGGCCUAAUUCAGG
Melospiza melodia melodia is the source of this 801-nucleotide long non-coding RNA. RefSeq lists it as uncharacterized. The transcript has 3 exons. Lineage: Eukaryota; Metazoa; Chordata; Aves; Passeriformes; Passerellidae. The record is from RefSeq and is a predicted model, not a curated record.